GAGGGAGGGGGUAGGAGGAGGAAGGAAGGAAGGGAGGGAGGGAAGGAAGGAAGGAAUCUUAUAAACCUGCCUGAGGCAGUGCUAGCUCUACACUUUACCCAGGAAAUCCUGUCAGUGGGAAGUGGGCUUCAACAGCACACUGUACAGAGGGGAAACUGAGGCUUGGCCUGUGAAGGCAAAGUAAGCAGGUGGCUCUGAGGGUAAAGGGCCGGAUGCACAGUCACACGUACCUGAGCCUAAGAACCCUGGUGGCAGCAGGUGCCUUCCACCCCAGCACUGGGAACAGACAGAUUUGAAGCAAGAUGGCCAAGUGUCCCAGGAAGAAUGAACAACUUCCACAUUGGAACAUGGAAUUUGGAGUGUUCCCUGGCUAUGGUCACUCAUAUUCAGCUCCAAAAUAAGCCAUCUCUCAACCUGUUCCACGUAAGAGCUGUGUCUUCAUUGACUGCCAUCGCUUUGAAAAUAAUAUACUUUUUAUCAGAGGAGUUACCUGGGUGGAUGCAUUCAUACCCCAGAUCAGUGGAAAGCCAGCCCCAUGUGGUCUGAUCCAGCCGCCCCACUCGGACUGAAGCCUGGGAGUGGGGGACCACAACCUGACUAUCCCUGCAGUCCAGCCGUGGUGGGAGGAGCCCCCCAACACCACGCCUUAAAGUGCUGUUCUGCACAGCUCUGGACGCAGGAGCAGCUCUGAAAGCCUCUGAGAGGCGACAUUCCACAUCCACAGACUGCAAAGGCUCUUACCCAGGUUCUCUCAGACCUCCCUUGGUUUGGUGAAUGUCCAUUUGUUUAUUCUGAGAUGGUUAUUUAGGUACCCUGUUUGGUAGACUCCUUUCUGUUUUCAAGGUAUCUAGUUUAAGCAUCUAUUUUUUGUUUUUUUUUGUUUUUUUUUUUUUUUUUUGAGACAGGGUUUCUCAGGGUUUCUCUGUGUAGCCCUGGCUAUCCUGUAGACCAGACUGGCCUUGAACUCAGAGAUCCACCUGCCUCUGCCUCCCUAGUGCUGGGAUUAAAGGCGUGCGCCACCCUCUGCUUUCUUACCUGUUUCUGUUGUUUAGAAAGCCAGCAGCGUGGGCAGGUCUUUUUUUAAUAUUUUAUUUAUUUAUUAUGUAUACAACAUUCUGCUUCCACGUUUAUCUGCACACCAGAAGAGGGCACCAGAUCUCAUCAAGGAUGGUUGUGAGCCACCAUGUGGUUGCUGGGAAUUGAACUCAGGACCUCUGGAAGAGCAGUCAGUGCUCUUAACCUCUGAGCCAUCUCUCCAGCCC
RNAcentral lists this long non-coding RNA (1262 nucleotides) under Cricetulus griseus (Chinese hamster). RNAcentral describes it as "lncRNA (ENSCGRG00015042639.1)". The record is from RNAcentral. Lineage: Eukaryota; Metazoa; Chordata; Mammalia; Rodentia; Cricetidae.